AACACACUUUUUUCCACCAAAAUCCCAUUUUUUCCCCUCAAAUUCCCAUUUUUUCCCCCUCCUCAAUGCCGGGGUGUCUCCGGGGGUCCCCAGAGCUGCCUGAGCGCCGCCUUUCCCCCUUCCCAGCGUUUCUGCAGCUCCUCCUGCCCCCGCCCCUUUGGGGCCAAUUCCGCCCCUUUUGGGCCAAUUCCAGCCAUUUUUGGGUGUUUUGAUCCCAUUUUGGGCCAAUUCCAGCCAUUUUUGGGUGUUCUGAUCCCAUUUUGGGGCAAUUCCACCAUUUUUGGGUGUUUUGAUCCAUUUUUGGGCCAAUUCCAGCCAUUUUUGGGUCAAUUACAGCCAUUUUUGGGUGUUUUGAUCCCAUUUUGGGACAAUUCCAGCCAUUUUUGGGUCAAUUCCAGCCAUUUUUGGGGGUUUCGAUCCUAUUUUUGGGUGUUUUGAUCCCAUUUUGGGCCAAUUCCAGCCAUUUUUGGGCAAAUUUCAUCUAUUUUUGGGGCAAUUCCAGCCAUUUUUGGGUGUUUUGAGCCCAUUUUGGGACAAUUCUAUCAAUUUUUGGGUAUUUUGAUCCCAUUUUUGGGUGUUUUGAUCCCAUUUUUGGGCCAAUUUCAUUUUGGGUAUUUUGAUCCCAUUUUUGGGUGUUUUGAUCCCAUUUUUGGGCCAAUUUCACCCAUUUUUGGGACUUUCCCAUCCAUUUUUAGGUGUUCUGGUCCCGUUUUUUGCCAUUUCCAGCACACAACACACAGUUUUUUCCACCAAAAUCCCAUUUUUUCGCACCAAAAUCCCAUUUUUUCGCACCAAAAUUCCACUUUUAUCCCAUUUUUUUCCCCCUCCUCAAUGCCGGGGUGUCUCCGGGGGUCCCCAGAGCUGCCUGAGCGCCGCCUUUCCCCCUUCCCAGCGUUUCUGCAGCUCCUCCUGGUCGCGGCCCAGGCGUUUCCGAAGUUUGCGGGCGAAGUUGGAGCCGCGGCUGCGGAGGUCGGCGGCGCUCAGCUCCAGCAGCGCCCGCGCCUCGGCUCCGUACUCGGCCAGCCGGGACCGGGCC
RNAcentral lists this long non-coding RNA (1036 nucleotides) under Cyanistes caeruleus (blue tit). Its description in RNAcentral is "lncRNA (ENSCCEG00000003123.1)". The record is from RNAcentral. Lineage: Eukaryota; Metazoa; Chordata; Aves; Passeriformes; Paridae.